Molecule: long non-coding RNA, 625 nt
Organism: Gopherus flavomarginatus (Mexican gopher tortoise)
Lineage: Eukaryota; Metazoa; Chordata; Testudines; Testudinidae
Exons: 3
Source: RefSeq, a predicted model, not a curated record
GUAUUUGGACCUGGAUCUGUCCUUGUGCUUGAAGCUGGGAAGCAGAAACAAGAGUCUAAGCAGUAAGGAAUCAGGAUCAGGUACAGACAAAGAAGUGUUUUGGUGAGCGAUAAACUUGGUUGUAUGAGUUAACAAGGUCACUAACAAGAUCCCAAUUGGGUGUGUGCACUGGUGACAUAAUGGCAAGAUUUGAAGGACGCUCCAGUAACUGCUUCACUGCCUGGAAAAGAAGAAGCAGGAUGGUCUUCUGUUGGCUACCCUUUCGAUGCAUUUUCAACAUUCUUGGAGUCGCUCGGUGAAAAAGUGACUGAGGAAUAGCCACUUCUCCAUGCCGAUGUUUAUUCCUCCUACCUGCAGCUAUCAGUGGAAAGAGAGGAUCUUUUCAGUGAAAGGAUGGAUGGAACUUGGUUAAAGCAAAAAAUCCAUAACAAAAAAAUGACUAUAUCAGUCAUCUGACUCUACUAGAGAACUGUUCACAAUACUGUGUCUUGCAUGUAAAAAGGUGUCUACCUUCAUUUUAUUGUCAGCUCUGAAUAAAUGUAAUAAGACCAGUGAUUUCUAACUUAACUCUUCCAUCAUAAUAGCUUUGACUUCCUUUAAAUAUUACUAAACCACAGCUACUAUA